AACGAACGCUGGCGGCAUGCCUAACACAUGCAAGUCGAACGAGACCUUCGGGUCUAGUGGCGCACGGGUGCGUAACGCGUGGGAACCUGCCCUUAGGUUCGGAAUAACUCCCCGAAAGGGGUGCUAAUACCGGAUAAUGUCUUCGGACCAAAGAUUUAUCGCCUUUGGAUGGGCCCGCGUUGGAUUAGCUAGUUGGUAGGGUAAAAGCCUACCAAGGCGACGAUCCAUAGCUGGUCUGAGAGGAUGAUCAGCCACACUGGGACUGAGACACGGCCCAGACUCCUACGGGAGGCAGCAGUGGGGAAUAUUGGACAAUGGGCGAAAGCCUGAUCCAGCAAUGCUGCGUGAGUGAUGAAGGCCUUAGGGUUGUAAAGCUCUUUUACCCGGGAUGAUAAUGACAGUACCGGGAGAAUAAGCUCCGGCUAACUCCGUG
This 433-nucleotide ribosomal RNA is filed under the name uncultured bacterium. RNAcentral describes it as "partial 16S ribosomal RNA". It matches the Rfam family "Bacterial small subunit ribosomal RNA", at positions 29 to 507 of the family's 1533-position model. The record is from RNAcentral.